CCAAACAUGUAGACUAACCCCUACCUUUGCAA
This 32-nucleotide transfer RNA is filed under the name Craugastor chac (Chac's rainfrog). RNAcentral's name for it is "partial tRNA-Met". Lineage: Eukaryota; Metazoa; Chordata; Amphibia; Anura; Craugastoridae. The record is from RNAcentral.